UUUCUAUGUAAAAUAUGUGAAAUAGUUUAUUGAUAUAUUGGAGUCUUGUGUCUUCAAGCUUUCCUGGGUCAUGCUUUUUUUUUUAUUCCCAGAAAACUACUUUCUGGAGAAGCUUUUCAUGCAGAUUGCUGUUUCCAUUUGUGUAGACUCAGAAUAAGUCUCUCUUUAUCAAGUUUCUUCUAUUUCUUGUUGAAUGAUUCGAUCGAGCACAUUGAAUAACUAACCUCUGCUUCUAUGAUCAGGCGUCAAGCAUCUGAUUCAUAUAAUUAGUUAGUCACAUCUUUGUAUUUCCUUGAAGGUUUUGGCAUAGCAUAAUUAGUUAGUCACGCUUCCAUUCAUUUUUCUUAUGAUAUUCUGAUAUAUUUAUUUUAAGAUUUUUACCUCUCACUUAAGUCUGUUCAGGUUUUUUUACCAAUAGACAUCAUAGAAUUGGU
This 434-nucleotide long non-coding RNA is filed under the name Musa acuminata (dwarf banana). Its description in RNAcentral is "long non-coding RNA (MACU_LNC002553)". The record is from RNAcentral. Lineage: Eukaryota; Viridiplantae; Streptophyta; Magnoliopsida; Zingiberales; Musaceae.